UACAACAUCUAAUUAAUUUAUAUUAUGGACACAAACACUAUAAUAUAAUAAUAUACAGAUUAUAAAUUAAUAACUGUCUUGUUUUAUAAUUAACAUAUUUUAUAUAUAGAUUAUAGUUAUGGAAACUAUUUGAAUUGAUAUUUUUAUAGUAAUUAUUCUUUCUUAUUCUUGUCUUUUUAACUAUAUAGAGUAAUAAUACUAGAAUUAUAUAACAUGUUUUAAUAACAUAUAAUUUUGCUUAUAAUAAUUUAAUUUUAGUUGCCCCUAAUAAAUUUAGUAGCAACUUUAUAUAACUGGUAUCAAGCAUUAUCUUAUCAGUGGUAAAGGAGCUAACUAGGACGGAACUAUCUUCACAGACAUAAAAAAUACAGACUACAGACUACAUUCGUACAGUUCUAUUCAUACAUUUUAGUAAAAAAUUCUGAUGGAUAAAUGUAUUCUUUUUAGUAAAACAUCUAAAGUAUCGCCUCGUCACAUUACGUUAAUUUUUAUUUGUAAGUAUUAUUUUCUAGUUGUACUGAUUAUAUUUCUUAAUAAUAGUCAGUCUAAUUUGCUAAUUUGUUCACAGAUAUAUAUUUCCAAAAAAUCAAUGAAAUAGAAGGAAAUAAUGGCUAAAAAUCUUCGAAUUAAAUGAUUAUCCCAAUUUAUAAUCUGCAGUAAUCAUUUCAUAAUUAGCGAUUGCAAACAAUCCUCAGUAAAUUAGUAAACAUGGUCAGAGGCUGUCUCAAAAAGUCAAAACAUAAUCCAAACCCCUUGUCUGGGAUAGAGAAGUAAAAUACAUUUUAGUAAUUUACUGCAACAUUGGUACUACUCCGAGCAUGACUAGGAAAUUGCAUCUAAGAGAAAACUUUGUUUCUCCAAAAUGAACAGACGAAUAAAGGAUUUGGAGGCCUUACAGUUGAUGAAUUUAAUUCGCCCUGAAAAGCCUUAGAUACUUAAUAAUGUAUAAUUCACACACACUUAUUUCAUACAAUGGAUUAUACUUAUUACCGUUUUCAAAACUGAAAUAUAUGAUGUACCAUAUACAAGGAACUAGCUAAUGUAUUGACAAUUUUUCAGACGUUGACUUUCUUGAAGAUAAUUCUACAGACUCAGAUGAAGCCAUACAAUAUUGGAGCGAAUCAUGAAAAUUAAAGGUGAUACAAUUUUGCUGAGCAAGAAUUCAAUUUAAAUAACGCAGAGGGCCUCAACAUAUUUAAAUUGUAAAGGAACACAUAACUAGUUUAGACAUUGGUAUCUUUUCUGAUGGGAAAGUGCAUCUAGUUGGAUGCAUUAAUCAGGUAAAGAUUGAAUGUUCCCAGUUGUUUUCAAAUACGUCCGGAAAAACAAAAAGAUAAUUAAGGAAAAAUUAUUAUAUUUUUGACAAAAAUUAAUUUUGUUUUAUAAGUGUAACUAAAAUAAAUACCUAGGUAUAGAUACAUGAUUUGUUCCCCGAAUGUUCCUAUUAUCAUUUUCUAUACACCAUACAGUUUUUAAAACAAUUUUACUCUUUUUUAACUAGUUAUGGGGAUAAUACAUUUUAAUUUUUUUCGAUAAGUAUUGUUUUUAAAAUUAAUGUCAAUAAAAAGUUCUUUGCUAUGUCAAAGAAUUUGAAAAUGUAAUACAGGGAUCCUAUUAUAGUUUCUAUAAUAUCUGUUCACAAAUAUGAGAGAUACAUAGCCACCAUUUGUCAUAAGCAUUUAAAGUUCACGUUUCGACAAAAUUCAUUAACAAUUUCCAAAUUAUCUUGUAGUUAAAAAUGUAUUAAAUGUUUAAUUGUAUAUUUAGCUUAUGCUUAUAGUAACGAUUAAUAAAAAUUGAUCAUAGUAAUAUUAGUUAUCAAAUUGAAAAAAAUAUGUAAAUUAUUAGUUUACUGGUCGUCAAACACGUUCCCAUUUACAACGAGGAAAGACAAAUUUCUUUGAAAAAUGAAUAGGUUUGCAAUUACCAAAUAGCUUCAGUGGCUUUUAUUACAAUUCCUCAA
This is a long non-coding RNA of Metopolophium dirhodum (rose-grain aphid), 1963 nucleotides long. RefSeq lists it as uncharacterized. The transcript has 4 exons. Lineage: Eukaryota; Metazoa; Arthropoda; Insecta; Hemiptera; Aphididae. The record is from RefSeq and is a predicted model, not a curated record.